This 345-nucleotide ribosomal RNA is filed under the name uncultured eukaryote. RNAcentral's name for it is "SSU rRNA". It matches the Rfam family "Eukaryotic small subunit ribosomal RNA", at positions 594 to 945 of the family's 1831-position model. The record is from RNAcentral.
AUAGCGUAUAUUAAAGUUGUUGCAGUUAAAAAGCUCGUAGUUGAACCUUGGGCCUGGCUGGUCGGUCCGCCUAACCGCGUGCACUGAUUCGGCCGGGCCUUUCCUUCUGGCUAACCCCAUGCCCUUCACUGGGUGUGGCGGGGAUCCAGGACUUUUACUUUGAAAAAAUUAGAGUGUUCAAAGCAGGCCUAUGCUCGAAUACAUUAGCAUGGAAUAAUAGAAUAGGACGGCGGUUCUAUUUUGUUGGUUUCUAGAGCCACCGUAAUGAUUAAUAGGGAUAGUCGGGGGCAUCAGUAUUCAAUUGUCAGAGGUGAAAUUCUUGGAUUUAUUGAAGACUAACUACUG